UUUGUCCCUUCUAACGACCCGUCCUUCGUCUAGCUUUCCUUUCUUCCUGCUCGCUGCUUGACUGGAGUUGUCAGGUGUCCGAUCAUCUAUAGGUACUAUGGAGCAGAUUAGUAAUAUCCAGGUGGUUUCCUGCAGCAGCUCCAAUUACUUGAAACCUUUCAGGGUUCACUACAGCCAGAAUGGAACCAAGAAAUACUGGGAUUUCAUGAGAACACAUGACAGUGUUUCAGUCUUGAUCUUCAAUACUACCUGUCACUGUUUCAUCCUGGUCAAGCAAUUCCGUCCCGCUGUGUAUAUGUGUGAGUGGGAGAAAAGCAAUCCUCAACACCCUGAAGUGGAAGCAACUGAAGGGGAUGAGACCCUGGAGAACCAGUCUGAGCCUCCACCAGCCAGUGCUGGAGUAACAUAUGAACUGUGCGCUGGUUUAGUAGACAAACCAGAUUUGUCAUUGGAAGAGAUAGCCAAACAAGAAAUCCUGGAGGAGUGUGGCUAUGAUGUGCCAGUGUCAAAGUUACGAAAGAUCACUUCAUAUAGAUCUGGAGUCGGCGUGACUGGAGCCAAACAGACAAUGUUUUACGCUGAAGUAUCUGAUGAGAACUGCGUUGGAGAGGGAGGUGGAGAGCCAAAGGAAGGAGAACUCAUUGAAGUGGUGAAGAUCCCUUUGCAAGAAGCCAUGAACUUUGCUUAUGAUGAAAGCAUCAGCAAAACCAUUGGGGUCAUCUUCAGCUUCAUGUGGUUUCACAGCCACAUGGCUCCCAAGUAUAAAAUCUCCACAAAUGUGUAAUAUUUGCUGAAAGUGAAUUUUAGCCUGAAGUGAGCAGUGUUUUGGAAAUGAUAGACUAGGUAUUAUUAGUGUUUUAUGAAAAAAUGUCAUUUGUGAUCCACAUUUUCCCCUGACCAAUUCAAGAUAGACAUAAUUGAGCAGAUUGCAAGAGAUGCUACUGGACUGAAGAACUGGUUGUUUUUAUUUCCUGUAAAAUUAUGAAAAAAACAAAUUUGUUCCUCUACAUGUAAUUGUAAAAACUAUUUGUAGCCACCACAUUCAUCAUUAACAGUGAGAUGAGAAUUCUUUGAGUGAGACCCUGUUAACCCUUCAAAGUGUGUUACAUUGGCCAGUUACCUGAAAGCUAAGCAGGCUGCACAUGGCAUGAGAAAGUCAAAGUGAACUGAAGCAUUUGAGCUCUUUGCUGCUUGAGUAGGGUCAUUCCAAAAAUAUCUGUUUCACCAUUAUUUUAUUUUAAACUGCAGUGUUUCCCUAAAUGCACUUUCCCAUGACCAGAGGUGCAUCCAGAGUUUUGUUAUUUCUGAGAAACUUUAAAAAAAAAUUUUCUCUUGAAUUUCAAAUCUUCAUUUUGGGGGGAUGCACUUUUAGUAUUCAUUAGUAACAUUGCUGUGAUUGAAAGAUUGUAAGGCACUGAAAACUGCAUGGUAGUACAGCAGAAGUCCAGGAAUUAAUAAUAUGGUUGCAUCAAUGGGCAGUGAAACCAAUUCAGUCAAAAAUGUUUUGGUAAUGUACAUCAGUGGUUUGAUUCUCACCAAAGAUUCAUACUCUAUGUACUACAACUUUACAGGAUUUCAUCAUUGCAAACAUGUUAAACAUAAAAUUUAAUCUGAAUGUAAAGGAUCUGAAUUGCCAAGCUGCAACUUGCUUGUUCUCAUAACACCUUAAACAAUGAGAACACAUCAUUUUAAGGAGACUGACAUGUCAGCUAAUGUGUGGAGAGCUCUUUAUUAAAGCUUGACAAUAGUGUUCUCUAUCAAAAGUCAUUGUGGCAUGUUUACAUACUUGGUGGUGCUGGUGAAGGACACUCAUUGUAAAGACUUGUUUUGAUGUUCACAUCUUUGCAAGUUUUUCCACUUUCUACUUCAAGAUUUUCUUCACUGGUUUUUCUCAAAGGAGCUGUUUUUGCUUUCCCGUGACUGCCACCAAAGAAAAAGGAAAGUUAAUUGAAGAAAAUGCACAUAUUUCACCAUAUUGUUAAAGCAGUGCAGCAUACUUCUCAGUUCCGCAGGACAGCUGGGAGUACAGCAGACAUGGCUUCUUAUUUUUUAAUCUGUGCCAAAUAAAAGUGUUUUUGAUACACUGGAUGUUUAGCAGACACUUUUUGAACUGUACGUUGUUCAGCAUGGGUUAUUUGUUAAAUUGGGAAGAAGCCUAAAUGCAAAGGAUCUGGGGGCCAUGAGAGUCAAUAAGUUCUGUAUUGAUUUUUACUGAUAAGACAGUGUAGGAUUGUGAGCUUAGAUUUGCAAAUGAGGCAAUUAAUCAGAACUGUUGCACAGAAAUGCUGGAGAGUGUUCGAUCUGUAAAGAAAGAAAAACAACAGAUUCUUCUCCAAGGCAGGUACUCAUAUAGUGCAGACAGGAUGGGAAGGAGUUAAACAGAUGUGAGCUUCUCAUAGAAGAAGAGUUUAAGCAUAUUAAUUGAUUGCAGCACACACUGCUUCGGUUUACUGAUGUCUUAAAUAGCAUUCUUCUUUUGAUGUUCAAAAUUAAAUGGUCUCUGGUCAUUCUGGCUCUAUGCGUUUAUUGAAACAUUGGAUUACUUUUUUGUUAGACAGUGUUGUUAAUGUAAGAGGGUACACGUCUGAAGCAUUUGAAUUCUGUUUCUAUUUUAAUGUUGGGCCUUGAAAAAGAUACAGUUGUCCUAGAGUAUACUGAAUGUAUAGACUUGUGAACACAAUGGCUUCCAGUUUUAAAAAUACUGGAAUAUUCCACUAUAUGUUGUAAUGGUACAUUACAUGUCGAAAACAUUACCAGUUGACCAUCAAUUUGCUCUUAACAUAGUACUUUAAGCAACAUGUAUGGGUGCCCCCAGUGCAUUGUGGAUCUGUAGAUGGUUAAAUGCAUUGAAUUCCUUUUUCUUUUGAUGCAGAACAUUAAUAAAUGUACUUGACAAAAUGUAUGCUAAAUUUGUGGAUUUCAUUGAUCCUUUCAGACAAUUUUGAUCCGAAUGCUGUUGAUUUAAUAUGAUGUUUCCAAUUAAUGUUACAUAUGCAGAUUCUAAAAUGCACUAAAUUUAAUUUUUACAGUAAUGCAACGUACAUCAAGAAAUAAAGAUGACUUCACUGAUUAGAUUCAGUUUUGCUUACAAAGACAUGUUUCAGUGCAUGGCUAUCAAAGUACUCUGUUUACAGUUACUACAUGAUGCCAGCAUAUUGAGUGGUGCAUGAAUUUUCAAAUUUGUAACAUUCCAUUUUCAUUUUGAUAAAAUUUGUUCAUAAAAACCUUCAGAUGACAGUGCAUGCCAGUUUCUAAUUGUGCUCUGGCUGAUUGAACCCAUACAAUGCUAUAUUGAUAACAUUGCAUGUUGGCUGCAAGCAAUGCAUAUAAACUAGAUUUCAAUAAGCUUCUGAUGCCAGAUAUUUAUAAAAUUAAUACUGUGCCUUUGCAUUCUGGACAUUUUUUUUAAUUUCAUAGGAUUGCACUUUACUUUUGAUGCAGAGAGUUUGUAAAGAUGAGAUGAUACCUGAUCAUGCUGUGUUUGGACAUGCUCAAGUCCUCAGCCUGCCAUUAUGAUGUUAAUGCUGAGUAUGGACAGAGGAACACAAGGAACUGAGUACUGGCCGAGCAGUAUUGGGUUCAAAACAGGAGCCAAUCUUUCAUGAGAUUAAGUUUAAAUGGAACCUCAAUAAGUGGACUCUAUGACUACAGACGGUACUUCUUCAUAAGGAGAAAAUGUUUCGGGGAGUCCCCAUAGAAAUACCUCCUAACAGCAGUAAACAUGAAUGAAAUCAAACCUUUGGAGAUAAGUUCAACCAUGCAUCCAUUCAGUUUCCAUUCUCCAAAUGAACUCUGACACAACAGGGUGAACCCUAACCCGAAAGUCACACAGCAGCUGGGAAAGGUAUCAUCUGUAUGCAAACAAAGGGCCAAUUUGUCAGCUGUCGUUCAUGACACAAAGAUAAAGCUGCUGACAAUAACAAAAACAUGAGAUUGAAGAGUUUGUUUGUAAGAAGAGCACUGUGUAUGGAUUUCCAAAAACUCUUCACUAUUGUGAUACCUGAAAUGAAAAAGUAAAAUAUUCUCCAUCUUA
This is an RNA transcript of Erpetoichthys calabaricus (reedfish), 4033 nucleotides long. It is a transcript of the gene named nudix (nucleoside diphosphate linked moiety X)-type motif 14, with no coding region annotated. Lineage: Eukaryota; Metazoa; Chordata; Cladistia; Polypteriformes; Polypteridae. The transcript has 6 exons. The record is from RefSeq and is a predicted model, not a curated record.